Molecule: ribosomal RNA, 542 nt
Filed under: uncultured archaeon
Lineage: Archaea
Description: bacterial SSU rRNA
Rfam family: Bacterial small subunit ribosomal RNA
Source: RNAcentral
CAGCCGCCGCGGUAAUACGUAGGGGGCGAGCGUUGUCCGGAAUUACUGGGCGUAAAGGGCGUGUAGGCGGCCUGUUAAGUCAGGCGUGAAAACCCCGGGCUUAACCUGGGGAUUGCGUUUGAAACUGGCGGGCUUGAGGGCAGGAGAGGAAAGUGGAAUUCCCGGUGUAGCGGUGAUAUGCGUAGAUACCGGGAGGAACACCAGUGGCGAAGGCGGCUUUCUGGACUGCACCUGACGCUGAGGCGCGAAAGCCAGGGGAGCGAACGGGAUUAGAUACCCCGGUAGUCCUGGCCGUAAACGAUGGGUACUAGGUGUGGGAGGUAUCGACUCCUUCCGUGCCGGAGUUAACACAAUAAGUACCCCGCCUGGGGAGUACGGCCGCAAGGCUGAAACUCAAAGGAAUUGACGGGGGCCCGCACAAGCGGUGGAGCAUGUGGUUUAAUUCGAUGCAACGCGAAGAACCUUACCAGGUCUUGACAUCUUCCUGACCGGUAUGGAAACAUACCUUUCCUUCGGGACGGGAAGACAGGUGGUGCAUGGCC